GCAAGUAUCACAAUGUGUCACACUUGGUUUUAAAACAAGACCAAGUGCUAUCUAUAUGUAUGCCAGGAUCUAGUUCCAUACAUAUAGUGACGUCAUAAGUCAAUAACAGUAGCAGUAUCACGUAAAAAGAUACGAAUAAAAACUUACGAGACUAUCGAAGAUAUACAGCUUAAUUCCGAAAACGGAGGAUCCAAACUUCACAGGCAAUCGAUUGGGGGUUGCGUACACCUAGAACUUAGCAUCAUCUUCACAACAACUUCA
This 261-nucleotide long non-coding RNA is filed under the name Setaria viridis. RNAcentral's name for it is "long non-coding RNA (SVIR_LNC006815)". The record is from RNAcentral. Lineage: Eukaryota; Viridiplantae; Streptophyta; Magnoliopsida; Poales; Poaceae.